UGAUUGCAGAUGCAUUUUGUUGUUUGAGACCCUUGAACAUCUCGUCUAUUUGGGGAUGGCAUGGAGGGAUAAAUUGGGAGCGGGAGAAGUGGUUGAAAAUGGGGGAAAACUGGAGUGUCGGCCAAUGGUAAUUAUUCUGUCUUGGAAGAGCCUUGCAAGAGAAGAGCACAAUUCUUGUCUUAGAUGAAGCCACUGCAUCUGUUGAUACUGCAACCGAUGGUACAAUACAAAAAGAUCAACAGUCAAGAAUUUAAAGAUCGAACGGUGGUUACUAUAGCUCACAGAAUCCACACAGUUAUAGAUAGCGAUAUUGUAUUGGUCCUCAGUGAUGGGUGGAUAGCAGAGUAUGACACACCAGCAAAGCUACUGGAAAGAGAGGAUUCUUUCUUCUCAAGACUGAUAAGAGAGUACUCAAAAGAUCAGAGAGUUUUAGUAGCUUUUCCAAGUUGCAAAGCUAACUCUGAUCACAAGAUGCACGAAAACCAAAGUGGAGGCAUCCUGACCACCAAGAUAUCAUAAUUACUACGGUGUAAGUGAAGUCUUCUCAGAAACAAAAGAAAGUUUGGACCAGUCAUAGCCACAAUAAAGGCUACAGUUCGUGGCUGCAGCACCAAGAACUC
Long non-coding RNA from Coffea eugenioides, 620 nucleotides. RefSeq lists it as uncharacterized. The record is from RefSeq and is a predicted model, not a curated record. NCBI's taxonomy places the organism in Eukaryota, Viridiplantae, Streptophyta, Magnoliopsida, Gentianales, Rubiaceae. The transcript is spliced from 3 exons.